Molecule: ribosomal RNA, 232 nt
Filed under: uncultured bacterium
Lineage: Bacteria
Description: partial 16S ribosomal RNA
Rfam family: Bacterial small subunit ribosomal RNA
Source: RNAcentral
ACAGGUGAGUAACACGUAUCCAACCUGCCGUCUACUCUUGGACAGCCUUCUGAAAGGAAGAUUAAUACAAGAUGGCAUCAUGAGUUCACAUGUUCACAUGAUUAAAGGUAUUCCGGUAGACGAUGGGGAUGCGUUCCAUUAGAUAGUAGGCGGGGUAACGGCCCACCUAGUCUUCGAUGGAUAGGGGUUCUGAGAGGAAGGUCCCCCACAUUGGAACUGAGACACGGUCCAA